AUCAAAAAGGAAAAAAAAAAAAAAGAAGUAUUGUGGUUUCAAAUGCAAUUUCUCCCAUCACCACCCAGAGGCAUAUCCCCAUCCUGAGCCCCAGGACCUGUCAAUGGGCCUUAUUGGGAAAUAGGGGCUUUGCAGAUAUAAUUAAGGAUCUUGAGAGGAGAUUAUUCUGGGUUUAGGGAGGCCCUAAAUCCAAUGACUGGUGUCAUGAUAAGAGAAAGGGGUUGGAGGCUGAGACACAGACACCGGGGAGAAAGUGGGGCUUGGAGGGAUGUAGUCACAAGCCAAAGAAUGCCAGGAGCCACUGGAAGCUGGAAGAAUCCAGGAAGGAUUCUCUCUAGAGCCUUCAGAGAGAGAGGACCCGCCUGCAGAUACUUUGAUUUCAGGCUUCUGGCUCCAGACUGAGAGAAUACAUUUCUAUAUUUUAAGCUUCUGAGUUGAUGGUGAUUUCUUGCAGCACCUAUAGGAAACAAAUACAGAGGGGUCCAGCAGGGUAUGUUUCCCCUUAGUAAGGGGGUCUCCAAAGAAAUCUGAGAAUCAGAAAAGCAGGUCGUUUGGCUUGGUGACUUUCAAGGUGCUUCUAAGCCUCAACUUGUAUAACUCAGAUUGUUCUUACUCAACUGCAUUAUGUGCCUAUAAUUUAAUGUCCUGCUCUUAGAUUUAAUGUCAUUUGAUAUGACUCUCUAUGUAAUUUCAUCUGUUUGUCUCUAAUGACUACAUAAUAUGCCAUCAGAUGAAUGUAUCAUAAUUUGCUAAGCCUCUCUUGCUGUUGAUGACAACAGUUUAAAUAUUUUUUACUGUUAUAAACAGUGCUGCUUGCAGACCUUGCUGCUUAGGCAACCAUCUUUCUUGUGAUGUCCUACGCCCAUGGUUCUCAAUUGGAGGUGAGAUAGUUGGCGCCAUCUGAAGAUUUUAAUUAUCACAAGUUGUUGCGAGGGUUGCUACUAUUGUCUAGAGGCCAGGGGUGCUGCUCCACACCCUACUUAACAGCACAUCUUUCCAUAGCAAAUACCAUCUAGUCCAAAAGGUCCACAGUGAUGAGGUUGAGAAAAUAUGCCUUAGAAUAAAAUCUUGGGAGUGGAAUCCGUAGGUCCUUGGGUUUGACUUGAUCUCUGCUGGAGGAGUAUAAACAUCUGCCUGACAGUCCCCUUCUGGUCCGUGGCAGAUCCAGGGCCACAGCUGGACAGACUGCAGCCCAGGGCUGUCAUAAUCCAGCUGCUCCUCCUCCACAGUUUCCACCAGGAAACCAUCCAACCAGGUGUUUCAGGACCGAGAACAGAUGAAAGAUAAAUACACGUGGGUCAUUGGGGCUGAGGCUCUUCAUGUCUUUGGGGAAAUGAAGUUGACUCUGUCUCUAAAGGAAACAUUGAUUCUGACUAUUUUAGGAAGAGUUCCCUCGGCACUCCAGUCCACACUGUCCAGUUGUAUCACAAACACCCCUCAUUGCCUGCACUGCUCGUGAAGGCACUUUAAAUGUUCUGGUGUAUGGUAGGCUCUUAAUGGAUGCUUGGAAAAUGUCUGAAUGCUUAUCAGUUGAAGAGCUUUCUGUAAACCAUCCUGGAUGUGAAUAGCUUCUGAAACAGUGAUGGUAGGAAAAUACAUGGUCACUGAAAUGUGGAAGGGUCCAGGAAGAACCUCCAGCCUCUCCUGCAUCACAUGAGACUUGCGGGGGUGCCCCUAACUGGAAGAUGGAGGGACCCAAUCUGUCCAUGUUCCCAGACUGCAGUUCACAGGUGCAUCCCUUCCAGGUCAGUUGGGAGCUCAUUAACAUUGCAGAUGGUGACUUCAUAGGUUUAAGAUCCAUCACCUCCCUAAAGCCCAGAGCCACGUUUCUAUGUGGAUAGGUGACUCCCUUUCCUCCUCCACGAUGGCAGAAGGAGCUUGGGUGAUCAAGAGAAGUGAUCUGGGCAAGACACUCUUCCUUGUCAGUGAGUGUGAUGAAAUUCUGUAAUAAAGCACAGGGCAUGGAGGGGGCGCAUAGUCCUCUAGCAUAAUAAGGUGAGGAUUAUUAUCUCGCCAGCCAAGUGGAAGGAAUACAGAUUUCUCAUGAGGACCAGACAAAAGUUUUCAGAAUGACAUCAAUCCUCAUCACAGUAUAAGGUGCUAGUUCGUUUCAGAUCCUUUAAGGGGAAAAACAGUCAGGAUUCAGAGGAAAGCCUUUUGUCUUCAUGUCUCAUCCUCUGCCCUCAAGCAUCGUCCAGAAUUCCCUCCCCACCCCACCACAUCCUACCCCUUGGAAACCAUAGCGUGCUCCUUCUUUUUACCAAAGUAAGGGGUGGUAUCAGAAAAAGGUCGCUGGGAUUAAGAGGAUGUUUCAAGCAUUAGAAAGCUGGAGAGAUGGGGAUUUCAUUCCUCUGCCAGGAGAACACAUUUGGGGCAAGGUGAGGGGGAGGGGAUGCCAAAGGGAGAGGAUCUUGAAGGAAAAGAGCUGCAGGAAGGUGGACAGAAGUGUGAAAGAUGGGUCAGCCAUGCAGGCGGCACUUCUCCUCUUUGUGAGGCACGUGGGGACCAGGACAGAGGCCAAGGGCUGAUGCCUGAAUCCCAUUUCCCAGGCUUUCCCCUAAGGCUGGAUGAGUGUGACCAGAUCCUUGCAGGAGGAAGCUGCUGCCUUGGGUCCCAGAGUGCACUGGGUUGGAGGAAUACAGGAGGAGAGAAAGAAGGAAAUUGACACCCCCAUUGCUAUGGUCAUCUAAUGGGUAAAAACUCAUCCUCUUCACCAAUUAUUGGUUGACAAGAAGUAUUUGCCUUCAGACUGUGAACCAGCUGGAAAAAGAUAAAUAGAACACUCCUUAAUUAGCAUUGCUCUCUGCGGGAUGGUAAACAUGGGUCUUUUAUGCAGAUUAUAUUCAGAGAAGAAAGCUGAGAACCGAAAGGUCUAUUAUUAAUCAGGUUAAAAUAGAAUUUUGGGUCCAGGACACCAAGCAUGGGCUUAUCCCUGCAUCUGUCUCGGUGUCCUGGAAGGAGAGAGGGGACCCACCUGCAUGUCUCUGGGGGAAGGCGAUGCAUGCCAAACAGAGUGGUCCACACAGCCAAGGGAGAGGGCGUGAUGUCACCCUUUGUGUACCGCAUGAAGGCAAUAAAUCCCAGCAUGCGACGCAUAGCUCUUAACAUCUCCCCUCCGUGUUGCAGUGAAACUGAGAGGGACUUUGAGCUCCAAAAACAUGGAGAGUCUUUGAAAGGUACGGACCAUUUCAGCAGGUACGCACCUCCCCGAGGGACAGUUUGGCUGCAGUGGAGCAGGGCAAAGACUUGGGCUGGGAGUACAGAGACCCUGUCAUCUGGCACUCAGGGGACAAUGUCCCCUGGACUCCUUUCAGCGGGGGCUUUCAUGAUCUUAAAGGAACAAAAUGUCUUUCCUGCACACACACACAAAAAUGUUCAUAGUCCUCGUCUUCUUAUCCAUCCAACCUCAAUCAAAACGUCCCCUCUUUCUUGCUGUUUUAUUUAUUUUUUCCAAGAAUUGAGCAUAUUGGCAUACUUCCUUGCUGUCUUUUCCUUACUUUUCUUUGCUGAUUUUAUCCGAAGUUGUGAAGUCUGAGAGGUGGAAGUGGAGGAGGCAGUGACCAUGGUGAUGAGAGGACAGACUAUAAGUAGUCAAACAUUUAACACUUACAGAUUUACUCAUGUUCUCAGCAGUAAGAUGCACUUACGGAGCCCCUGUCAUAUUGGCAUUGGAGGGACAAGCAGGGUGAAUAAGACAGGUCUAGUUAAUGAGACAAAGCAUGUAUCUUGAUUGCUACCAUACCAAGAGGAAAACCGGUGCCCCAAGAUGUGCCUAUAAAAUAGGAUUUGAGAGAGAACUUUUAGCUCAAGAGAUCAUGGAAGGCCUUGUGGGGUCUUGCGAUGACAUUUUGGUUGGACCUCAAGAGCACGUAGGGUUCAAGCGGGGGAGUGUGGAAAGUAGUCGUGAUUAUUGGCAAAAGAACUUGAUAAAAUAGUAACAAGGAGUUUAGGUUAAAUAUUGAGGAUGGUAAAUUGUAUAGGUUGGGUGAGGUUUAGGUCAAGCGUACGUGGGAAGUAGUGGAGAUUAUGUUUGAGAGUUUAUGUCGGUAUCAGAUGUUGGGCCAUAUUUGAUGGAUUACAAUGGCUGCACAGGAGCUGUGUUUGCUAAGCGUGGUCCUUCACCCACACUCACAGACACAGGUGAGAGGAAUAGUUACGAGGGAGAACAGUUAUAAGGCUAGUUCGGUGGCCCUCAAAAAAGAUGAUGAAGACGUGAACAGCAACAAUAAAAUCUGGAAUGGAGAGGAGAGUUAAGCUGGAGGAUACAUGGCAGAUAAAUUGACAGGAUUUAUCACUGGUCAUUUAUCAAGCCAAGGGAGAAGGUGAAGUUCAAGAUGACUUCAAGGUCUCCAGAAGGUGAAGGAGAAAUCAGAGGACUCUCUUAUGAAAAGUGGGGAACAAAGGAAAACCGGCAGAUUCUGGAGGGAAGAGCAGAUGUUUGGUUUGGGAAGCAUUGACUGUGUCAGUCCCCUGGGCUAUCUGAGUGGAGACAUAGAGCAGCUCUUUUUCUGCAAUUGCAAGGUUGUAGUUUCAAAAUCAGGAGGCUUCAGAAUAGAGAUUAUAAUUAGUGCAACCAAGCCGGCUGAGAUUGUCAAAAACAAGUCUAGAGAAAGAAGAGAAGAAUGGAGUAGAGAAGAAAAGACAGGUAAGGUCAGAUCUUUAGAUAAGCUAUGGUUUAAAAGCAAAAAAAAAAAAA
RNAcentral lists this long non-coding RNA (4696 nucleotides) under Sus scrofa (pig). Its description in RNAcentral is "lncRNA (ENSSSCG00015078995.1)". The record is from RNAcentral. Lineage: Eukaryota; Metazoa; Chordata; Mammalia; Artiodactyla; Suidae.